GACGAACGCUGGCGGCGUGCUUAACACAUGCAAGUCGAACGGAAAGGCCCUGCUUGCAGGGUACUCGAGUGGCGAACGGGUGAGUAACACGUGGGUGAUCUGCCCUGCACUUCGGGAUAAGCCUGGGAAACUGGGUCUAAUACCGGAUAGGAGCCAUUUUUAGUGUGAUGGUUGGAAAGUUUUUUCGGUGUAGGUUGAGCUCGCGGCCUAUCAGCUUGUUGGUGGGGUAAUGGCCUACCAAGGCGGCGACGGGUAGCCGGCCUGAGAGGGUGGACGGCCACAUUGGGACUGAGAUACGGCCCAGACUCCUACGGGAGGCUGCAGUGGGGAAUAUUGCACAAUGGGCGCAAGCCUGAUGCAGCGACGCCGCGUGGGGGAUGACGGCCUUCGGGUUGUAAACUCCUUUCGCUAGGGACGAAGCUUUUUGUGACGGUACCUAGAUAAGAAGCACCGGCUAACUACGUG
RNAcentral lists this ribosomal RNA (465 nucleotides) under uncultured bacterium. RNAcentral's name for it is "partial 16S ribosomal RNA". It matches the Rfam family "Bacterial small subunit ribosomal RNA", at positions 28 to 507 of the family's 1533-position model. The record is from RNAcentral.